RNAcentral lists this ribosomal RNA (247 nucleotides) under Cyathus sp. RNAcentral describes it as "partial 28S ribosomal RNA". It matches the Rfam family "Eukaryotic large subunit ribosomal RNA", at positions 105 to 344 of the family's 3401-position model. Lineage: Eukaryota; Fungi; Basidiomycota; Agaricomycetes; Agaricales; Nidulariaceae. The record is from RNAcentral.
GAAGCUCAAAUUUAAAAUCUGGUGGUCUUUGGCCAUCCGAGUUGUAAUCUAGAGAAGUGUUACCCGCGUUGGACCGUGUACAAGUCUCCUGGAAUGGAGCGUCAUAGAGGGUGAGAAUCCCGUCUUUGACACGGACUACCAAGGCUUUGUGGUGCGCUCUCAACGAGUCGAGUUGUUUGGGAAUGCAGCUCAAAAUGGGUGGUAAAUUCCAUCUAAAGCUAAAUAUAGGCGAGAGACCGAUNGCGAA